RNAcentral lists this ribosomal RNA (468 nucleotides) under uncultured bacterium. RNAcentral describes it as "partial 16S ribosomal RNA". It matches the Rfam family "Bacterial small subunit ribosomal RNA", at positions 28 to 507 of the family's 1533-position model. The record is from RNAcentral.
GACGAACGCUGGCGGCGUGCUUAACACAUGCAAGUCGAACGGCAAGGCCCUGCUUUUUUGGGGUUCUCGAGUGGCGAACGGGUGAGUAACACGUGAGUAACCUGCCCUUGACUUUGGGAUAACUUCAGGAAACUGGGGCUACUAUCGGAUAGGAGCUCCUGCUGCAUGGUGGGGGUUGGAAAGUUUCGGCGGUUGGGGAUGGACUCGCGGCUUAUCAGCUUGUUGGUGGGGUAGUGGCUUACCCAGGCUUUGACGGGUAGCCGGCCUGAGAGGGUGAACGGCCACAAUGGGACUGAGAGACGGACCAGACUGCUACGGGAGGCAGCAGGGGGGAAUAUUGCACAAUGGGCGGAAGCCUGAUGAAGAAACGCCGCGUGCGGGAUGACGGCCUGCGGGUUGUAAACCGCUUUAGCCUGUGACGAAGCGUGAGUGACGGUAAUGGGUAAAGAAGCACCGGCUAACUACGUG